UAAAUGAAAGCCAAAUCAGAGGCGCCUAGCUGUUAAUUAGGAGAUUGUAAGAUGAUAUUUACUCAUUUAG
RNAcentral lists this transfer RNA (70 nucleotides) under Oxymeris dimidiata (dimidiate auger shell). RNAcentral describes it as "tRNA-Asn". The record is from RNAcentral. Lineage: Eukaryota; Metazoa; Mollusca; Gastropoda; Neogastropoda; Terebridae.